GAUGAACGCUAGCGGCAGGCCUAACACAUGCAAGUCGAGGGAGAGGUUACCUUCGGGUAACCGAAACCGGCGCACGGGUGCGUAACGCGUAUACAAUCUGCCUUUCACAUAGGGAUAGCCCGAAGAAAUUUGGAUUAAUACCUAAUGGUAUAUAAGAGCGGCAUCGUUUUUAUAUUAAAGCUACGGUGGUGAAAGAUGAGUAUGCGUUCUAUUAGCUAGUUGGAGAGGUAACGGCUCCCCAAGGCGACGAUAGAUAGGGGUUCUGAGAGGGAUGUCCCCCACACUGGUACUGAGAUACGGACCAGACUCCUACGGGAGGCAGCAGUGAGGAAUAUUGGACAAUGGUCGGAAGACUGAUCCAGCCAUGCCGCGUGCAGGAUGAAGGUCCUAUGGAUUGGAAACUGCUUUUGUAAGGGAAGAAUAGGGAGUACGUGUACUUUGAGGACGGUGCCUUACUAAUUAGCAUUGGCUAACUCCGUGCCAGCAGCCGCGGUUUGCGGAGGAUGCGAGCGUUAUCCGGAAUCAUGUGGUUAAAAGGGUCCGUAGCGGGUUGAUAAGUCUGAGGUGAAAGCGCUUAUUUACUAAGCACUGCUUUUAAAAUUGUCGUUCUGGAAUGAUUGUGAGGUGGUGGAAAUGUGAAGUGUGUGCGGUAAUUGACUAUGAUGUUCACAGAAACUGAUGGCGUGGGCAUGUUGCGCCUCCUGUCCUUUCUGCUGAUGUGGAAUGAGUGAGUGUGUAAUGUGUGAAAUAUGAGAGGAUGUGUGUGGAUUCUUGUGUUGUGUGGUCUUGUGCUGCUCUUGCUUUGUUGUGCUGAAAGAAAAUGAAUGUUGUAUAGUUGAUUGUGUGUAGUGUUGAUGUUUUUGCCUGUUGUUGUGCAGGUGUGUUUAUGUCUGGUGUGUCUUGUUGUGUGUUUUGUGUGUGUGUGUGUAGUGCUCGUCUGUUGGUGUGUGGUUUGUGUAGUGGUGUGGUUGUGUUGUUGCUGUGUGUGCGUAUGUGUAUGU
This 1001-nucleotide ribosomal RNA is filed under the name uncultured Actinomyces sp. RNAcentral describes it as "bacterial SSU rRNA". The stretch from base 1 to 715 matches the Rfam family "Bacterial small subunit ribosomal RNA". Lineage: Bacteria; Bacillati; Actinomycetota; Actinomycetes; Actinomycetales; Actinomycetaceae. The record is from RNAcentral.